CCUANGGGCGGCAGCAGUCGAGAGGCUUCGGCAAUGGGGGAAACCCUGACCGAGCGACGCCGCGUGGAGGAAGAAGGCCUUCGGGUUGUAAACUCCUUUUAGUGGGAACGAAAGUUCAUCUGGUCAAUACCCAGGUGAUUUGACGGUACCUUCAGAAGAAGCACCGGCUAACUCCGUGCCAGCAGCCGCGGUAAUACGGGGGGUGCAAACGUUGUUCGGAAUCACUGGGCGUAAAGAGCGCGUAGGCGGUUUUAUAAGCCAGAUGUGAAAUCCCCGGGCUCAACCUGGGAACUGCAUUGUGGAACUGUAAGACUAGAGUGUAGCAGAGGGGGGUAGAAUUCCACGUGUAGCAGUGAAAUGCGUAGAUAUGUGGAGGAAUACCAAUGGCGAAGGCAGCCCCCUGGGUUAACACUGACGCUCAUGCACGAAAGCGUGGGGAGCAAACAGGAUUAGAUACCCGGNUANUC
RNAcentral lists this ribosomal RNA (467 nucleotides) under uncultured bacterium. Its description in RNAcentral is "bacterial SSU rRNA". It matches the Rfam family "Bacterial small subunit ribosomal RNA", at positions 338 to 795 of the family's 1533-position model. The record is from RNAcentral.